CCUACGGGAGGCAGCAGUGAGGAAUAUUGGUCAAUGGGCGUAAGCCUGAACCAGCCAAGUCGCGUGCAGGAUGAAGGUCCUACGGGUCGUACACUGCUUUUAUACGGGAAUAACGCGCCUUACGUGUAGGGCUUUGUAUGUACCGUAUGAAUAAGGACCGGCUAACUCCGUGCCAGCAGCCGCGGUAAUACGGAGGGUCCGGGCGUUAUCCGGAUUUAUUGGGUUUAAAGGGUGCGUAGGCGGCAUUUCAAGUCUGCGGUGAAAUUCCGGGGCUCAACCAUGGACUUGCCGUUGAAACUGGGGGGCUUGAGUCCGUGGGAAGCAGGCGGAAUUCGUGGUGUAGCGGUGAAAUGCUUAGAUAUGACGAAGAACCCCGAUUGCGAAGGCAGCUUGC
Molecule: ribosomal RNA, 394 nt
Filed under: uncultured bacterium
Lineage: Bacteria
Description: partial 16S ribosomal RNA
Rfam family: Bacterial small subunit ribosomal RNA
Source: RNAcentral